RNAcentral lists this ribosomal RNA (468 nucleotides) under uncultured bacterium. Its description in RNAcentral is "partial 16S ribosomal RNA". It matches the Rfam family "Bacterial small subunit ribosomal RNA", at positions 28 to 507 of the family's 1533-position model. The record is from RNAcentral.
GAUGAACGCUGGCGGCGUGCUUAACACAUGCAAGUCGAACGGAAAGGCCGAAGCUUGCUUCGGUACUCGAGUGGCGAACGGGUGAGUAACACGUGGGUGAUCUGCCCUGUACUUCGGGAUAAGCUUGGGAAACUGGGUCUAAUACCGGAUAUGACGAUCUCUUGGAUGGGGUGGUGGAGAGCUUUUGCGGUGUGGGAUGAGCUCGCGGCCUAUCUGCUUGUGGUUGGGGUAUUGGCCUACCACGGCGUCGACGGGGAGCGGGACUGUGAGGGGGUAAGGCGACAUUGGGAGAGUGAGACAGGCCACAGUCCUACAGGGGGCGGAAGUGGGGAAAAUUGCACAAUGGGGGCAAGCCUGAGGCAGAGACGCCGCGUGGGGGAUAACGGCGUUCGGGUGGUAAACUCCGUUCGCGAUCGACGCAGCCUUUUGGUGACGGUAGGUGGAGAAGAAGCACCGGCUAACUACGUG